This 264-nucleotide unclassified non-coding RNA is filed under the name Xylaria polymorpha. Its description in RNAcentral is "partial internal transcribed spacer region". The stretch from base 1 to 46 matches the Rfam family "Eukaryotic small subunit ribosomal RNA", at positions 1786 to 1831 of the family's 1831-position model. The record is from RNAcentral. Lineage: Eukaryota; Fungi; Ascomycota; Sordariomycetes; Xylariales; Xylariaceae.
AAGUCGUAACAAGGUCUCCGUUGGUGAACCAGCGGAGGGAUCAUUAAAGAGUUUUAUAACUCCCAAACCCAUGUGAACAUACCGUACGUUGCCUCGGCAGGCUGCGUCUCCCUGUGAGGUCUUACCCUGUAGGACGCUACGCUGUAAGGCUUAUCGGGAAGAUGCACUAAAGCCUGCCGGCGGCCCAUUAAACUCUGUUUAUUUUUGAAUUCUGAGGUUAUAAUAAAUAAGUUAAAACUUUCAACAACGGAUCUCUUGGUUCUG